CCCUUUGACAAGUCAGUACUUCGGCUGCAUCAUAUUUCCAUUAACCUUUAGCCCUUUUAGAAGUCAGUGCUUCGGCUGAAAACUUAUAAAAUGGAAUAGGGUUAUAUUAUCACCACCCAUCAGUAUUUUCCUUGUUUGCAUGACUCUUUACAAUAGGAAGAUAAGAUCAUCUGUUAAAGUUUCAAGAAAUUGGGGUAAGGCAUACACGUUUUAAACUUAAAUUUAAGUGACACACCCAUGUUAUUUGACUCAAUUUCUGAUGAUUAUACUAUACACAACGACAACCAAGCCUUAUCCCACUAAGUGAGGUCGGCUACAUGAAUCAAACGAUGCCAUAGUGUUCUGUCAAAAAUAAUGCAGCGGCCCUUGCUCAUUUGACACCGUACUCGAGCUAUACACAGCACGUUGCUUCUAGGCAACGACCUAGCCUUAACACUAUUGCGUAUUUGAUUCAUAUCAAAAAGAUUGGACAAAGUUUUAUGUUUGUUGCCCAAGCUUAACAUAGGCAGGAUUAAAAUCGCUAGAAGGAGGGGUUGAACCUCCACCUUGUGGUUAACAGCCACACGCUCUAACCAACUGAGCUAUUCCAGCUUGUUUAUGAUUAUUAUACUAUAUGGUUCCUAAUGUUAUAAUCCCUUUAAUAUCUUCCAAAUUUCUUUGUUUGUACACUAUCUUCUAUUUUCCACCUUAUCUUAGACUGGAUGCCGUGAGGAAAGAGGGUGAAUUAUUAUGUUUGGAGUCUUGUGUCCUCGCAAGAAUUAGGAACCUAUCAAGUUGUAAUUAGAAACAGUCAUUGCUUCUAUUUGAUUUUUUAGUGUGAUGUAGAUGAGAAGUGGUUUAUGCAAUCAAUUUGUAUUCUUCUUAUGGAAUGAUGUGUGUGGUUCUUAAAUUUUGUAUCAAAUAAAGAUUUGAUAUUGUUCUAUGAUCACCAACCUUGUUUUGUUAUUUUGAGGGGCUAGAUGGAACGUAAGUUUGAUUAUGAGACCAGUUAGAAAAACAUAAUUGUUUGUUGGUAUAUUUAAAUUUGAUUGUUGGGUUCAAUAAAGAGAUAUAAGUGUUAGUAUCCCUAAUGAGUUAGUUUAUAAAUUGGUAAUGCUGAGCAUAAGCUAUACUGAAAUAAUAAUGUGGUUAAGGUCUAAAAUCAAUGAGUUUUGUAAGGCAAGUUGAAAUUCAAAGAACUAUACCUUCUGUGUCUCGGGUGUGGGUAGGUUUUCUACAAAUUAUGUUUGAACAUUGAUAAUAGGAAUCAGGAGUACAUACGAUGGGCUGGAGAAGAAGCAUGAUGGCUGGUCUAGACAUUCAAGUGCUUCGGAGUUGAAUUAAGGAACCAAAUGUAGUUUGUUAUUAAGGCUUACAUAUGGCAUUUCAGGUGUUUAGUUGCUGCAUGAUUAUGCAGAAAAAUAUAGUUGAACAAGUUUCCUAUCAAUUUAGAGACAUGCAGGCUCAAACUUGGUAAAGAAGAUUAGGAAGCCUAAGUGAUGAUUUAGAGUUCAGACAAAACUAAGAUAAGAUUUCCUUUCUUACAAUCCUACCAAAUUUCGCAAGCUUUAAAUCUCUAAUAUGGUUUAGACUAAACAUGAGGGCUAUAACCAACUUGAAGGUAUUUUGGGGUUUAAUGGAGUGCUGAUAAUGUGUGUUCUAACAGUUGUUUAUGUUAAUUUGUUCGCGGUUGUUGAAUGUUGAUAUUCAAAUCUACAUUUGCUUAUUUGGAUUGCUCUUAAUCUAUCUUGCAGUGCAUGAGCUCAAUUCAAGUAGACAGUGAAUUUUGAAAACCGUCGGUGCAUCCGAUGCUUUCGUUUGUUAUAGUUUGUGAGGGAACUUCAGCUUGGAUUAGGAAGCAGAAUGGUGUUGUGCCAAAGUUUUCCUUGCUUCCACCCUACAAACUCCUCACAAGCAGCCAAAUGUACUCGUAGAUUUUGGAAAUUUUAGAAGACCCUCCAAAAUUGAAUGAGUGGAAUGUAAUAAACCCUAAUUUGAAGUCAUUUAGCAAUUUUUGUGGGAAAAAAAAGUAAGCUUCAGGACUUGUAAGUCCAAUGAUAUUAGGAUGAAAAAUUGAGAAUUGUGAAAGGAGUCUUUUAUCAUUUUAUCAAUCUUUUUAAAAUUUUAACUUGCUGCAUUAUGCAGAUGCAACAAAUGAUGAGCACCUGCAUUUUGGAAUUUGGACUAAAACGACAUUACAUGUACACACUAAACAGGACUUUUUUUUUUUUGACUCAGUACACAGGACUUGGAAUAGAAAUAAUUGUCACAUCAAAUAUUGUUUUUUUAUAGAGUCACAUCAAAUAUUGUAAAGUGCUUAAGAGAAAGAAGAUUGAAAUGAAAGUAGUACCUUUGACACUUGAACUGAUUGGAUUCAGAGCGUGCAUUAUCAAGAGCAAAUACAUAAGAAAAGUUAAUGACUAGUAGUAGAGGAAAAAGCACAACAAGCAAUUUUUUUUUUGUACAAAGCCGCAAGAAUCUAACUAUACGAGAGUAAACUACUUGCUCCUUGCAAAUCUUAUGAAAAAUAUAUCUGAAAGCGACAAAUUCAUAAGUUAUCUUCAUGUAUACAAGUCACAUCCUUGAAUCUCUAUAUAUAUUCUCUAGUAUAGAAAGAUUAGGUUGGAAAAUGGGGACAAGCUGAGUGAUUGUUUAUUUUGUAUGAUGUAUAUAAUAAACAUAACACUACAAAUUGUUAUAGAAAUAAACGAUUUCUCUUCAAUCUUCAUUAACUACUAAAGAAACUCAACGCAUGACUCAAGUGUUAUAAUUUUGGGCAUUCUUGUGAAGAAUUUUCGGAUUUUUAAUUAUAAA
RNAcentral lists this long non-coding RNA (2793 nucleotides) under Medicago truncatula (barrel medic). Its description in RNAcentral is "long non-coding RNA (MTRU_LNC002898)". The record is from RNAcentral. Lineage: Eukaryota; Viridiplantae; Streptophyta; Magnoliopsida; Fabales; Fabaceae.